AGCCUACGGGAGGCAGCGGUGAGGAAUAUUGGUCAAUGGGGGAAACCCUGACGCAGCAACGCCGCGUGCGGGACGAAGGCCCUCGGGCUGUAAACCGCUUUCAGCAGGGAAGACGUCGACGGUACCUGCAGAAGAAGCUCCGGCUAACUACGUGCCAGCAGCCGCGGUAAUACGUAGGGGGCGAGCGUUAUCCGGAUUCAUUGGGCGUAAAGCGCGCGUAGGCGGCCGCCUAAGCGGAACCUCUAACCCCGGGGCUCAACCUCGGGCCGGGUUCCGGACUGGGCGGCUCGAGUGCGGUAGAGGAG
Molecule: ribosomal RNA, 305 nt
Filed under: uncultured bacterium
Lineage: Bacteria
Description: bacterial SSU rRNA
Rfam family: Bacterial small subunit ribosomal RNA
Source: RNAcentral